GGUGCACAGAAAUUAUUACCAUUUCGGUAAUUCAGGAAAGUUUUUCCUCAAACUCCUAAUUUGUUGUUUAUUGUUGGUAAGCAAGGUAGUUGUAGUAGCUAUGUUUAGGGAUCUAGACUAGAAUAUGGUCAUGCAGAAUAAUCUUACAAUUAUUAGUGUACAUUUUAGUGACAUUCUCAUUUUUACAGCUUUUAAAAUUGACCUUGUGUUGACUUUUUGUUGCUAUGAUUUUUAAGAAAAGUUUCCAUAACUUUUUAUGAGUAAAGUAUUUUUUGGGAGGCGACCCAGCACUUCUCACCUGAGGUGUGGGAAGGUUCAUGGGUAAAUAAGUGAUUUCAGGCAGGAAGGUGUCGCCAGGGGCUGAAUGGGCAGCUGCUUUCUGUGUAGUUAUUCACUCACAGCUGGCUCUGCAUCGUGGAAUAGUGGUGGACCAUGGAGCAGCAACAAGCCUGGUCUAUGGAGCACUGGACAACCUGGACCGUGGAGUAAUGGCAGGCCUGGAAGCCAGGCCAAAGCCAAAGAUCACCAGGGUGGAGCAGGCGGGACUGAGGAUCUCCAUGGUGGAGCUGGUGGAGCAGAUGACCACGGUGAAACCUGCGAAGGAGAAGGCCUCUUUGGCCGUUGCUGGACAGGCAGAGAGUUCAGGGCAGACUAUGAGUUUCACAGGUGUUUUUUCUUUAUUUACGCAUUGCAUUGUGUUAAAGGGUUAAAGGGAAUGUCCAUAAACUUACCGGAUAAUGUACUGGCAGAAAAUUACCAGUCCCCUUAAAAAAUGAAAUAAAAUCUUAUAGUGUAUAAAAAAUGGCAUUGACCUUGAAAGUGGACAUAUUGCAAAAUAUCUCAUUUCGUGUUUCUACAGAAAAAAAGACAGAAAAAAAUGGGGUUAACUGUUCCUUUAAGCAUAUCCAUGUCUUCCCUGUUGAUUCUUUACUUCAUUAACUCAUCCUGAAAAGGAAGAUCAGGUGACUGUAAUGCUUUGUGAUUCCUUACUGUUUUUUUUCCCCCUCAAUCUUUCCAUGAUGUACAGCAUGUCUCACAUUCCCCCCUCUGUUUCGCACCUGAUUCCGCCGUCAUUCUGCACAUCAGUUUAUCUCCUUA
Molecule: long non-coding RNA, 1098 nt
Organism: Cyprinus carpio carpio
Lineage: Eukaryota; Metazoa; Chordata; Actinopteri; Cypriniformes; Cyprinidae
Source: Ensembl